GACGAACGCUGGCGGCGUGCUUAACACAUGCAAGUCGAACGGAAAGGCCCUGCUUUUGUGGGGUGCUCGAGUGGCGAACGGGUGAGUAACACGUGAGUAACCUGCCCUUGACUUUGGGAUAACUUCAGGAAACUGGGGCUAAUACCGGAUAGGAGCUCCUGCUGCAUGGUGGGGGUUGGAAAGUUUCGGCGGUUGGGGAUGGACUCGCGGCUUAUCAGCUUGUUGGUGGGGUAGUGGCUUACCAAGGCUUUGACGGGUAGCCGGCCUGAGAGGGUGACCGGCCACAUUGGGGCUGAGAUACGGCCCAGACUCCUACGGGAGGCAGCAGUGGGGAAUAUUGCACAAUGGGCGGAAGCCUGAUGCGGCGACGCCGCGUGCGGGAUGACGGCCUUCGGGUUGUAAACCGCUUUCGCCUGUGACGAAGCGUGAGUGACGGUAAUGGGUAAAGAAGCACCGGCUAACUACGUG
Molecule: ribosomal RNA, 468 nt
Filed under: uncultured bacterium
Lineage: Bacteria
Description: partial 16S ribosomal RNA
Rfam family: Bacterial small subunit ribosomal RNA
Source: RNAcentral